RNAcentral lists this long non-coding RNA (202 nucleotides) under Gossypium raimondii (Peruvian cotton). RNAcentral describes it as "long non-coding RNA (GRAI_LNC000453)". Lineage: Eukaryota; Viridiplantae; Streptophyta; Magnoliopsida; Malvales; Malvaceae. The record is from RNAcentral.
UUUUCUUUAUGAAUAGUUUAGGAUCUCAAACUUUUUCAAAUAAAAGUAAUUAAAUUUUUAUUUUUAUUUAUUCUUUUGGGUACUUAAACUUUUAAAAUACAUUAAAAAGACCUUCAAACCUUUUCAAAAAAAAAACAAUUAAGCCUCUACCUAUUUUUUACACUCAAUUGGGUACUUAAACUUUCAAAAUGCAUAAAAAAAC